UACAACCCUGACUGUCUGGAUAUUGC
This 26-nucleotide non-coding RNA is filed under the name Mus musculus (house mouse). Lineage: Eukaryota; Metazoa; Chordata; Mammalia; Rodentia; Muridae. The record is from RNAcentral.